RNAcentral lists this ribosomal RNA (301 nucleotides) under uncultured bacterium. RNAcentral's name for it is "partial 16S ribosomal RNA". It matches the Rfam family "Bacterial small subunit ribosomal RNA", at positions 509 to 808 of the family's 1533-position model. The record is from RNAcentral.
CAGCAGCGCGGGAAUACGGAGGGUGCAAGCGUUAAUCGGAAUUACUGGGCGUAAAGCGCACGCAGGCGGUCUGACAAGUCAGAUGUGAAAUCCCCGGGCUUAACCUGGGAACUGCAUUUGAAACUGUCAGGCUGGAGUCUUGUAGAGGGGGGUGGAAUUCCAGGUGUAGCGGUGAAAUGCGUAGAGAUCUGGAGGAAUACCGGUGGCGAAGGCGGCCCCCUGGACAAAGACUGACGCUCAGGUGCGAAAGCGUGGGGAGCAAACAGGAUUAGAUACCCCUGUAGUCCCUGUCUCUUAUACA